GAUGAAGAACGUAGCGAAAUGCGAUACGUAAUGUGAAUUACAGAAUUCAGUGAAUCAUCGAAUCUUUGAACGCACAUUGCACUCCUUGGUAUUCCGAGGAGUAUGCCUGUUUCAGUAUCAUGAGUACUCUCACAUCUAACCUUUGGGUUAAAAUGUGGAAUUGGGAUGCGCCGGUUAUUAUAACGGCCCUCCUAAAAUUCAGUUCUUGGCUGCUUCCUACUACAGCAGUUUGGCCUAAUAGUUUUGAGUCUUCGAUUCAAAUCUUUGGCUAACAUUUGCUUCAGGAUGUCAGUCUUGAUAUACAGAAAUCUCAUUCAAACUUUGAUCUGAAAUCAGGUAGGUCUACCCGCUGAACUUAAGCAUAUCAAUAAGCGGAGGA
This 379-nucleotide unclassified non-coding RNA is filed under the name soil metagenome. RNAcentral describes it as "partial contains 5.8S ribosomal RNA, internal transcribed spacer 2, and large subunit ribosomal RNA". The stretch from base 1 to 120 matches the Rfam family "5.8S ribosomal RNA", at positions 35 to 154 of the family's 154-position model. The record is from RNAcentral.